This 443-nucleotide ribosomal RNA is filed under the name uncultured eukaryote. RNAcentral's name for it is "SSU rRNA". It matches the Rfam family "Eukaryotic small subunit ribosomal RNA", at positions 138 to 582 of the family's 1831-position model. The record is from RNAcentral.
CAUGGAUAACCGUAGUAAUUCUAGAGCUAAUACAUGCUGUAAAAACCUGACUUUUCGGAAAGGUUGUAUUUAUUAGAUAUCAAACCAAUAAUCUUUCGGGAUUAUUGUGAUGAUUCAUAAUAACUGAUCGGAUCAAGGUGUACCUUGAUAGAUCAUUCAAGUUUCUGCCCUAUCAGCUUUCGAUGGUAGUGUAUUGGACUACCAUGGCAGUCACGGGUAACGGAGAAUUAGGGUUCGAUUCCGGAGAGGGAGCCUGAGAAACGGCUACCACAUCUACGGAAGGCAGCAGGCGCGUAAAUUACCCAAUCCUGAUUCAGGGAGGUAGUGACAAGAAAUAACAAACUCGGGGCCUCACGGCUUACGAGAUUGCAAUGAGAACAAUUUAAAUCUCUUAGUCGAGGAACAAUUAGGAGGGCAAGUCUGGGUGCCAGCAGCCGCGGUAA